This 236-nucleotide unclassified non-coding RNA is filed under the name plant metagenome. Its description in RNAcentral is "partial contains small subunit ribosomal RNA, internal transcribed spacer 1, and 5.8S ribosomal RNA". The record is from RNAcentral.
UUUCCGUAGGUGAACCUGCGGAAGGAUCAUUACCAAAAGAUAAUCUUUCAAAUCGAAAGAUCUUUUCCUUUGUGCUGGCUUUGACCGUAUGUAAUUUUGGGACUUAAACAUGGUAGCUUUUUUGUUACCGGUCCCAAAAACAAUUAUAUCAUCCUUAUGAAAAACUUACUGAAAACUAAACAAUGAUUUUAAUAAUCUGUUUAAAACAACUUUCAACAACGGAUCUCUUGGUUCUG